AUGCUCAGCGAGGGGACAGGCGCCGACGUCACGUUCCGCGUGGGCGGUCGGGAGUUUCGCGCGCACCGGUUCCUCCUGGCCGCGCGGUCGCCGGUCUUCGGAGCACAGCUCUUUGGCCCCAUGCCGAAGAAGGGCACGCGGCGCGUCGUCGAGGUCGUCGGCGUGGAGCCGGCCAUCUUCCAGAUGCUCCUUCACUACGUCUACACGGGGUCGCUACCGGUGUGCCGCGACGAAGGUGGGUAUGACGCCAUGGUGAUGGAGCCCUGCUGGUCGCCGCAGGCAAGUAUGGGCCGGAAAAGUUGA
Molecule: ribosomal RNA, 303 nt
Filed under: Triticum aestivum (bread wheat)
Lineage: Eukaryota; Viridiplantae; Streptophyta; Magnoliopsida; Poales; Poaceae
Description: partial small subunit ribosomal RNA
Source: RNAcentral